UUACCGCGGCUGCUGGCACGAAGCUAGCCGGUGCUUAUUCUUUGGGUACCGUCAUCCCAACCGGGUAUUAGCCAGCUGGAUUUCUUUCCCAACAAAAGGGCUUUACAACCCGAAGGCCUUCUUCACCCACGCGGUAUGGCUGGAUCAGGCUUGCGCCCAUUGUCCAAUAUUCCCCACUGCUGCCUCCCGUAGGAGUCUGGACCGUGUCUCAGUUCCAGUGUGGCUGAUCAUCCUCUCAGACCAGCUACGGAUCGUCGCCUUGGUGGGCCUUUACCCCGCCAACUAGCUAAUCCGACAUCGGCUCAUUCAAUCGCGCAAGGUCCGAAGAUCCCCUGCUUUCACCCGUAGGUCGUAUGCGGUAUUAGCGUAAGUUUCCCUACGUUAUCCCCCACGAAAAAGUAGAUUCCGAUGUAUUCCUCACCCGUCCGCCACUCGCCACCCAGAGAGCAAGCUCUCCUGUGCUGCCGUUCGACUUGCAUGUGUUAGGCCUACCGCCAGCGUUCACUCUGAGCCAGGAUCAAACUCUA
RNAcentral lists this ribosomal RNA (527 nucleotides) under uncultured bacterium. RNAcentral describes it as "partial 16S ribosomal RNA". The record is from RNAcentral.